UACAGAGGGUGCGAGCGUUUGUCCGGAAUCACUGGGCGUAAAGGGCGCGUAGGUGGCGGCCCAAGUCCAUGGUGAAAGCUCGAUGCUCAACAUCGAGUCGGCCACGGAUACUGGGGUUGCUCGAGCACUGUAGGGGCAGAUGGAAUUCCACGUGUAGCGGUGAAAUGCGUAGAGAAUGUGGAGGAACACCUGUGGCGAAGGCGCCUUGCUGGCCGAAUUUCUGACGCUGAGGCGCGAAAAGCGUGGGGGAGGCAAACAGGGA
This 262-nucleotide ribosomal RNA is filed under the name uncultured bacterium. RNAcentral's name for it is "partial 16S ribosomal RNA". It matches the Rfam family "Bacterial small subunit ribosomal RNA", at positions 524 to 778 of the family's 1533-position model. The record is from RNAcentral.